UUUCCUGUGUUGCAUACCUAUUGCGAGGGCAUUCGGUUGGCUAAAAUUGUCCCAUCUCCGCCUCGCGUCGGCGCUCCGUGCGGGCGUACGUUGCGGGGUGGAUCUCRCGGCAUCCGUUGUGUUUCGCGCCGCAUUCACCUAACUUGGUGUUUGGGUAGGCGACCCAUGACGUGAUGCGCGUUGUCUCGGGUACGGAACAUCGGGUGGGUUSGAGGCACUGUCCUUCGAUCGCCACACAAAUGCGUUCUACGCUUUAUGCGAACGACGGCCGCACACGGGCUUCGGCGGAGCACUCGCUGCUCGGUCGGAGCCGUGUCGGCGUCGGUGAGGGAUGCUACCUGGUGAUCCU
This 349-nucleotide unclassified non-coding RNA is filed under the name Hyptis heterophylla. Its description in RNAcentral is "partial contains external transcribed spacer and 18S ribosomal RNA". Lineage: Eukaryota; Viridiplantae; Streptophyta; Magnoliopsida; Lamiales; Lamiaceae. The record is from RNAcentral.